RNAcentral lists this ribosomal RNA (230 nucleotides) under uncultured microorganism. RNAcentral's name for it is "partial 16S ribosomal RNA". It matches the Rfam family "Bacterial small subunit ribosomal RNA", at positions 524 to 754 of the family's 1533-position model. The record is from RNAcentral.
UACGUAUGUCACAAGCGUUAUCCGGAUUUAUUGGGCGUAAAGCGCGUCUAGGUGGUUAUGUAAGUCUGAUGUGAAAAUGCAGGGCUCAACUCUGUAUUGCGUUGGAAACUGCAUGACUAGAGUACUGGAGAGGUAAGCGGAACUACAAGUGUAGAGGUGAAAUUCGUAGAUAUUUGUAGGAAUGCCGAUGGGGAAGCCAGCUUACUGGACAGAUACUGACGCUAAAGCGC